CUUGUACCUUUUGCAUCAUGAUUUAGCCAGCAACCCAUAAGCAAAGAGACCUUUAGUUUAAAUCCCCGAAACCAAGUGAGCUACCCCGGGACAGCUUUAUAGAGCCAACCCGUCUCUGUGGCAAAAGAGUGGGAAGAGCCCCGGGUAGAGGUGACAGACCUACCGAACUUGGUGAUAGCUGGUUGCCUAAGAAAUGAAUAGAAGUUCAGCCUCGUGCCCCUCUGCCCAAACAAGAAACAUCUGCAACAAGCACAAGAGAAAAACACGAGAGUUAGUUAAAAGGGGUACAGCCCUUUUAACCCAGGAUACAACCUUAAGCAGAAGGAUAAGGAUCACACUUUUUAAAACAUAGUCGUCACAGUGGGCCUAAAAGCAGCCAUCUGACUAGAAAGCGUUAAAGCUCAAACGACAAGACCUUUAUUAUACUGAUAAACAAUCCAAUUCCCCUAAAAAUAUUAGGCUAUUCCAUGCCAACAUGGAAGAGACCAUGCUAAAAUGAGUAACAAGAGAAUUAAUUCUCUCCAAGCACAAGUGUACCCCAGAUCGGACCACCCACUGGGAACUAACGAACCCAAAAAAAGAGUGUAAUGUGAAAUACAAAUAAAACCAAGAAACCCCACAACACAACAAUCGUUAACCUCACACUAGAGUGCCCCAAGGAAAGACAAAAAGAUAGGGAAGGAACUCGGCAAACACAAGCCUCGCCUGUUUACCAAAAACAUCGCCU
RNAcentral lists this ribosomal RNA (727 nucleotides) under Acanthocobitis botia (mottled loach). Its description in RNAcentral is "partial large subunit ribosomal RNA". The stretch from base 1 to 495 matches the Rfam family "Bacterial large subunit ribosomal RNA", at positions 598 to 1301 of the family's 2925-position model. Lineage: Eukaryota; Metazoa; Chordata; Actinopteri; Cypriniformes; Nemacheilidae. The record is from RNAcentral.